AAGCGGCGAGCAGGCGCUUACCUGAGGUUCGCCCAAGCUUGGGGCGGUGGGGCCCGGGAGGGAAGAGGGAAGUGGGUCGGGCUCCCGGUCUGUGUUCAUCCAUUCAUUCAUUCGUUGAGGCACGAAUUAAUGUAAUAGCCACUCAUUCGUUCAAGAACUGCUGAUUCACCACUCACCAGGUGCCAGGGAGAAGGACAAAAUGCACCAAAAAGUGCCGGAAGCAGUAAUGUCCACGUGUGAUACUUGCCUUGGAGCAAGUAAACAGGGAACAGGGCCAUCUGACUCCGGGGUUGGGCUGCUCUAGGGGUUUGGUGAUAUUCUUAGCUGCCUAUGACCGUCCAUUAGUACUGCCCUGUGCAGGGCAGAUAAUGUUCACUCCCUUCCCAGUAGUUUUUAUAUUGAAGAAAAAUAUAUCAGAGAAUCAAAUAAUACAAUCUUAUGUACUUAAAAAAAGUUAAUGUAUAUCUGUCUACUCCAAGAUCAGUAAACACAGUUUCACAUUUUAUGUUCUCACCUAGUUAUAGCACCCUCUUUCUGUUCUCAACUCCCUUGAAGAAUUGCUACUUGUCAGUAUUUCUGUUAGUUGUCAGUAUCCAUUAGGAUCUGUAUUUUUGCCAUUGUAAAUAUCAACAGUUCUGAGUUACUAAAAAAUUGCAAGUGGUAGUUCUGGAGGUUCUAUACAUUGCCAUAGAAGAGCAUUCCAUUGGGUAUUUAAGGAACUGUUGGAGGAAACACAUUGAGGAAACACAUUAAAGAUCAGUUAGGGAUGGUCAGAAGUCGCUUGACUUUUUGAGGGACGUUGAUAAUAUCCUUAUAGCCUAGGAGGAAAAGAGCCACUAUUGUACGAAGCAGCACAGCAGGAAGAUUUUAUGGCUGCAGUGGUGUUAUGACUUGCUGGGGUUAGAGGAGGACAAAUACUGAUGACAAAAUACAAGCUCUGACUCAGAAAUUGGGAUGAUUUCUCUGUGGAUCCUAUAAGGAGCCUGGAGAUGGUGAAGAGAAUGCCUUGACCAUCAGGAGACAGCUUACCUUAUUGAAUCUUGAUCACUUCUUCUGACCACUUUGGAUAUUAAAAGAACAAGUCAGCAGACACAGAAGGACAGACCCUGGGUAAAGCACAGGACAUCCAGAGACCAACAAACCACAGUUCCUGCCUCAUCCAGCUCACAAUGUCCCGAGGAAAGCAGGUAAACACACACUUACAUGGAGAAAUGAGGAAAGCUUUGAUGGUAGGGAACAAAAUGAGACAGACAGGGUAGACUUCUCCAGGGUGGACAAGAAGGUCUUUAAAGAGCUGACAUUUGUGUUACGUCCUCAGAAAUGGGCAGGGGUUAACUGAGCACAGAAAAGGAGGAGCCUUUGUUAAGGUGCCGGGAACUAUGUAUGCAAAUGUGUUGAACAGGGAAGAAAACAUUUCUGAUGCCCAAUGCGACAAUUGAGACUUGUCAUGUCAUAUGAAUACUCUCGUUCGAGGAAGUGAUGUCUGGUGCCACAGCAGCCACCUCGUGAUGGUGAGGCUAUUCAGCUAGUAUUUGAGUCAACACCUUUGGACUGUUUGGUGGAAUAUUACAUAUCCUUAGGAUUUAAGCCAUGCUUUUGUUUUAGUUACUUUCAGAUCAAAAGAUAUUAACUGAUACAGCUAUGAUAAGAAAUACAGUGUUUACAAGCUAAGAAAGGCAUCAAAUGUUGUUUUAUGCAGUUUGUUGUCUGUAGACAUGACCCUGUCCAUAAUGGGUAGAUGUGUGUGUGCACGUGCAUGAAUUUGCCUGUGUGAAUUUUUACAACAUUACACACUCCAGUUGUGUCCCAUCUUACUAGUCUAAAUAAAUACCAGUCAAAAUGGAGGGACAGGUGCAGGUACCUCUUCAUGCCAUACCACCUCCCCGGACACAAACCUCGUGAACAAUUACCUCCAGAACAAACCACACUCACCCACUUGUUCACAAGGAGGAUGCCAACUCUCUUCAUACCUGCCGCACGGCUUUGGAAAAAAAUUUAAAGUUCAUCCUUAUUUAUAAAGUUAAUACCUAUAAUGAAAAGGUUUCUCUUUGAUGUGGGAGUGCUUUCGAAGUCUCAGUGACCUAUAUUGCCAAUGUACUCUGUGUAUGAGGUGAGGCAGGGACCGGCUGGGGAAUUACCCAUGUUUAAUGAAGACUAAAAUUAGAAUUUGACUGAAAUCCACAGAAAUGGCUCGACAGCAAGUU
Non-coding RNA from Macaca mulatta (Rhesus monkey), 2204 nucleotides. NCBI's taxonomy places the organism in Eukaryota, Metazoa, Chordata, Mammalia, Primates, Cercopithecidae. The record is from RefSeq and is a predicted model, not a curated record.